AACGCUGGCGGCGUGCUUAACACAUGCAAGUCGAACGGUGAAGGGGAGCUUGCUCCCUGGAUCAGUGGCGAACGGGUGAGUAACACGUGGGCAACCUGCCCCUGACUUCGGGAUAACGCUUCGAAAGAGGUGCUAAUACCGGAUAUGAACCCUGAGGGCAUCCUCGGGGUUGGAAAGUUUUUCGGUCAGGGAUGGGCCCGCGGCCUAUCAGCUUGUUGGUGAGGUAGUGGCUCACCAAGGCGACGACGGGUAGCCGGCCUGAGAGGGCGACCGGCCACACUGGGACUGAGACACGGCCCAGACUCCUACGGGAGGCAGCAGUGGGGAAUAUUGCGCAAUGGGCGAAAGCCUGACGCAGCAACGCCGCGUGCAGGAAGAAGGCCUUCGGGUUGUAAACUGCUUUUGUACGGAACGAAACGGUCCUGGUUAAUACCCGGGGCUAAUGACGGUACCGUAAGAAUAAGCACCGGCUAACUACGUG
This 481-nucleotide ribosomal RNA is filed under the name uncultured bacterium. RNAcentral's name for it is "bacterial SSU rRNA". It matches the Rfam family "Bacterial small subunit ribosomal RNA", at positions 32 to 507 of the family's 1533-position model. The record is from RNAcentral.